CGAGGAGGGGUGGCCCGGCAGCCGGAAAGAAAACUCCUGGACUUUUUAUUGAAUCCAUAAAACAAAAGGUUGCUGAGGAUAACCUGAACCUGGAGACACAGUGGAACUGAGAGGUUUGCUCCCUCCUGGUGCCAUGAUUGAGACCGACUCCCUAUAUGCAACUACUUACAGGACUAAUGUCACCUAAGGAAUUCACAGAGCUGGCCCUGAGUUUCAAAGAACAGAUAGAAAAAAAAUAAGUGUGCAUCUAAGAGGGAUCAGAGGGCACAGAGGGAGAGGAACCCACCAAACAGCUAGAAUGUCAGCCUGAGCAGAAGUAACAAGGACCUUCAAACACAGUAGAAAAGGAAAACAAAGACUUCCUGGAACUAAACAUAUUUUUAAUGAAACUCCUAACUGGAUGAAUUAAAUCAGGAGAUGGACUUGACAGAUCAAAUGCAAGAGCAUCCUAUACCCAGAACAAAAAUACAAAGAGAUGGAAAUCAUGAGGGCAAAAUCAGAAACCUGAAGGCUGGACCCAGGAGACCUAAGAUGUCAGUAAUAGGAAUUCUGGGAGGAGGAGAAAAAUAAACACAUGAAGGAGAGGGAAUAAUUAGACAAAUGACAUAUGAUUACUUCCCCGAGUGAAGAAGACUCGGGUCUGAGUCUUUGGUUUAAAAAGAACUCAUGGGGUCACUAGGACUGAAAGCCACACACCUAAGCCCAUCCAGAUAAAAUUCUUGAACAGCAGGUGUAAAGAGAACCUCUUGCCCCCUUCACUACAAAGAGGAAAACAUUAAUUACAAAAGAAAAGAAAAGAAAAGAGGUGGGUGUCAUGUUUCUCACUUACCAUAAUGGGAACUUGAAGACAUCUACAAAACACUGGAGCAAGCCAAAAUACUUCUUGCUGGUCAGGGUAAAAAAAAAAAAAAAGAAAAGAAAAAUCACCCAGAUAUCCAGGCAAUGGUCUGAGAAAAAUACUCUAGAAAGAACCGUAAGCAAAUGAAAAAAUGAACUGAAGCAGAUAACUCAAGACAAGAGAAGGUGAAGAAGAGAGAAUCUGGUGGUGGGCAAUUGGGCCUCACAAUCUCUCUGUCUCUUUGUCUCUGUCUUUUCCUCUCUUUCUGAGGCAGUUGCAACAGAGGCCUCUGCUCAACCCAAGGGGAAAUUUGGAGCUGAGGUUGUUCUGAGUUGAGAUGGAUCUGGCUUUUUCACCCUAGUAGUUGCAUAGAGGGUGCCCCCGGGAAGGGAGCAGACCUGGGGUUUGGCAGCUUCUUUCAGCUUCAGGCAAUUCCUGGAGAGAGAGAGACUUAGCUGUGAGCUGUCAGCAGCCAACACUCCUUCAGCUGGGGGCUGGGAUGGGCGUAGCCCCCAGCAUCCCUCACAAUGCAUGCAUGGUGCCAUUUAUGUAAAAUGAUGUGUAUCAAUACAUACUUAGGCUGGGGAAUGUUCAAUAAUCAGCUCUUGGGGAGAUGGGGGCUGGUGUGUGUGUGUAGGGGUUUUCCGAUUUGUAGCCUCUGUUGAUUCUUGUGGUAUAAAUACUCCUAUCAUGGCUGAUCUCAAACUACCAAUGUGAUGGGACUGCAGAGGGACCUGGGACCAGACCCAGCAGUUGCUCAGGAGGUUCAGGGAAGGGGAGGGGAGGACAGAAGGAGCAGCAGUCACAGCAUCUUAUAUGGUGGGAGUGCUCUGAUACUGGGAGUUUUUCUCUGUUUGCCUCAUUUUUUCUAUUUGGUCACCUUUCUAACCCUUGUCCCUACAGUCCACUUCGGUAGGUUGGUAUUCUUUGCAGGCAGUAUUCUAGAAGAAAUCUCAAGCCCUUGUUCUCACCAAGGCCCACGUGACCAUCAAAACUCAAGGCUGCUUCUUGGUGGGCGGUGCUGGGGAUGGAAUUGAGACGGUGUGGAGGGGUUGGCAGACCUCCUCUGAAAGGGGCCCGUGGUACAUAUUUUUGGCUUUGUGGGACCUAUGGUCUCUGUUGCAACAACGAAUCCCCCGCAGGACAUAGUCUGCUGACUCUUGCUGUACAUGAUACCAUUGUGUCAUAAACCUCACUGAAGUGUUAAUUAUGGCUAUUUCAAAGGCCCCAGAGGAAAGAGCCCCUUCACUCUAAACCAACCAACGAGUUCAGACCAACCAACGCAGAGGAGGGAUUUAGGCCUUGGGGGAGGUUUUGUGGUUUAGCCGCCUUCUCCAGGAAUGUGUUUUAACUUCUGUUCUCCAGGGUUAAAUAAAAUGAGGAAAAGAGAAUGCCUGGGUUAAAAAACAAAAAAUAAACUGACAAAAAAAUCCCAAACCCCUCAAAAACCAAAAACCCAAUUCUACUCACAAACUCUUUAUUUAUUAGGAUCCUGUUAAUUUUGGAUUUGGAAAAAUAGACCUGGGGAGGAGGCAGGUCCUCCCCACAGCACUAGCUCUGAAGGAAGGUACCAUAGACAGAUCAACAGAGUAAACCAAGCCUGGCAGCCAGAGCCUUCAUAGGGCUAAGACAUCUUCCUCAGCUUUCUAGGAUUAUUUGAAUGUUAAUAUGAAAUCUAUGUCUAUUUAUAAAAGUGAAUCAUGUAGGACCUUUUUUUGGGCAACACUUGAUGAAUACCUCUAGCAUGUUGGUGUAGAUACUAAGCUACGGUUUUCCAAAUAUAUUUGGGGCAAGUCUCUUUUCCCCAGGCUUCAAGUUUUCCAUCUUUGAGUAUUUACAAUGUCUUGGACAGCCUUGUGAAUUUUUGUGACUGUAUUAAUGCGGAUUCUUAAAUUUCACCCAAACAAUUAAGCCCCUCUACUCAAAAGAACUGCCUUUGACUCCUGACCUGUCCUUGCCUUGUAACUCCAUGAGGUGGACAGCAUGACAGGUGAGUUCUAUUUUGGCUUUUGGUUUGUCUUAGAAUGUGUGUUUGUGUGUGUGUGUGUGUGUGUGUGUGUGUCUAUAGUUUGGUGGUUGAAAAAGUUCUUCUGUAGUAGAAAGUCCUUGCCUUAUCAUUACUUUGCUGAUUUUCCCCUGGUGACCAGGAAGCUCAGAGCUGAAUUUAGGGUCCAUAGAAUCCCACCCUGGUUCUGUUGCAAUGAUCUUUCGGUAAUUCUCAGUCUUUUUGGGUUCACAGAUCUCUAUGGGAAUUUGAUGGAAGCAAAGAGGAAUCCCUCAGGAAGCGUUCCUAUCUGCCCACAAAACAUAGGCAGAGAGUGGAUUCUGAUCAUUCCCUUUGGAACUCUUCACCUACCAUAUUUUACAUUUUAUUUGUGUUACUUUCUGGUGCCCCCAGUGCUGACGCACCCAGGACUUCAAGGAACAGAGGAGGUGCUGACAAGCGUUGGAAGGGUUUCUUUGUUCUCAUGCAAAGGGGGGAGAGGUAGUCAACGCUUUCUACCUCAAGAGUAUUUCUCCAGGAACGUUAUCACAACUUAGUCCUGUAGUACACGGGGAAAGCACCGGACUAAAUUAAAGCCCUGGUUUUAUCACUAGCUAGUUCUGAACUUAAACAGAUCCUUUCACUUCAGUGAGCCUCCAUUUCCUUAACUGUAAACUGAGAGCCCUACCCAGGCCAGUGGGAGAUUAAGGGAAAGACUCUCUGUUGGAAGAGCUGGCUACUCUGUAAAGUGUGGUGCAGAUGACUGGUUCCUUGGGAUCCUCCCUAACCGGCACUCAGUUAAACCAGGACCAAGGGGUGGGACACGCAGAGGCCAUCACCUUGCCUUGUACAGUGAUGGCCACUGACUGAUGACCCAGCAGUCCUGGGCCUCCAUUUGUUCCUUCCCGAUCCAGGAAAAAGAUGAACAUUUAAGGAGGCUCUAACAUGACUGAAAUGAGCAGGUGGAAACUGACAGACCAGUGAGGGGCCUGGGCCCUGUCUCUGGGAUGCCCAGGAGAAAUGCCAGUCUCUCCCACAGAUCACCCCUCCCCCUCGUCCACACUUGCACAGUUACACCUCCUUGCAGCUCCAAUGCAAGAACCAGCCCUACCACAGCCCCUUCCCUGACUGUGUUCUUUUUUCUUCUGCAGGCCACGGGAUUCUUGCCCAUAGGAUUCCAGUAGCAUUUACUGCUUGUUCUGUUUAUCUGUUACUAAAGCUAAAUUCAGUAGCCUUCUGAGUACUUACCACGUAGAAGGCUUUGCUCUGAUCCGAAUCCUAUAUUGCUUGAUUCAUCAUUUUCAGAUUGUUCAUCUCUAUGUGUGUUGUACCCCUUACGGAAUGGGAUCACUUGUGAUACAUGCAUCCUCCAACCAUCCAGCACAUUGGAGUUGACAGCUAAAUGUCCAUGCUUAAGUCAACUCCCCCUGGCUACAGCUCUGGUAUAACAUAGUGAUUUACAGACCCACCAAACCAGAGGAUGCCGCUGGCAGAAAGAUGAGCCUGGUCUGGUGUUAAUGCAAGAAGAUCCCUGUGGUACAGACGCAAGAUGUUGGACCGUCUGAUAUUUGGUGAAAUCAGAAGAGUGCAAAGGAAAAAAGCUAUGGCUGCCUGCAGGAGCCACUUCUGGGAGCCAGGAGGUUGCCAUAGAAACGUCAUGGGGCAGAGGAGAGACAAGGGGCCUGGAGAGACUGGCCCUGUGACACUUGCCAUCCCCUGACUUUCAGUGGCACUUGGUGAGGCCCUAAACACAUUUUGAUUUGAACCAGGGUUAUUUGUUUACUUAGGUUAAUGUACGUAAAGCGCCAACAAAGUGUCUGGUACUUAAAUAGCACAAAACAAAUACUAAUCCCCUCAUGUCUUAUUAGACCAUGAGUUCUUGGGAGGCAUUUGUGCUGUUCAGUGCAGUGUACAAGAACAUGGGGCUUGGAUCCAGAUAAACGUGUUUAGGGUGUUGAGUUUGCCUCUUAUUAGCAGUAUGACCUUGGGAAACUUGCCUCGUAAGGAUAGUAAUGGUUCCCAUCUCUUUGGGUGAAAGGAUUAAGUAAAACCAUCCCUAUAAUAAAGGCUAAUGUUUAUCAAGGGCUUACUACAUUCAGAGCACUGUUUUAAGUGCUUUAGGUAGGACCAUCUUAUUUAAUUCACAUAAAUCUGUGUGCUAGGUGCUAGCAUCCCCAUUUUGCAGAUAAGAAAACUGAGGCACAGAGAAGUUGAGUAACGUGUCCAGGGUCACAAAGCUAUUACAUAGGUGAACUGGGAUUUGAACUGAGGAAGUUAGUACGCUGGUAUUUUUACAUCCCACUUUGCACGGCACCUUGCCAUGGCCAUCCCCUCAUUGCCUGUUUUUGCGACUGCACGUCUGGGAAAUACUCGCUGAAUAACAUCUACAGGAGUGUCUUUCCAGGUUGCUAGUUAGAAGAGCACUAAAUGUAUUCCUGUUGUGAAUAAGAAAAUGUGCUCAUUUAGAAAAGAGACACAUCAUAUGAACCUGAUGUUCAGUCCUUUCAAAUAGUAGCUUUAAAACUCACGUUUGAAUAACCUCAUGGAAGAAAGGUUGGUCUGGUGAACAUUUGUGCUGUUGCCUAUUCCAAUCAGCUGUUGAGUUGGGCUUCUGCCAGAUUAAUGACUCUUCUCCCAUAUGCAAGAGGGCGAAGCAUGAGAGCGUUACCAGGAGCUGAGGCCUGAACGGGCUUGCAGGGCCGGGCUCCCAGCCGAGUCACACCCAAGUGGUGGGGACUUGCCAGCUUUGGGGCUAAGCUAUUGCCCCAGAGAGGCUGAGCAGGGCGGGCAGCUCUUUGCUUGCUGAUUCUCUGGUCUCCCAGGGCAACAGCCUAGAGCCGACUGUGGUCACCCGUGAGAAUGCUCCUCCUGACUCAGCGGGGCCUGCAGUGCCCCAGGGUGUGGCUGUGUGUUCCUUUGGGCCCCUCACAGAUAGCAUUUAUUUCAAAGGAUAUCACUGCGCCAUUGUGGGUUGAGGGCUAGAGCUGCAGGA
Non-coding RNA from Delphinapterus leucas (beluga whale), 5814 nucleotides. Lineage: Eukaryota; Metazoa; Chordata; Mammalia; Artiodactyla; Monodontidae. The record is from RefSeq and is a predicted model, not a curated record.